UACGUAGGGGGCGAGCGUUGUCCGGAAUUAUUGGGCGUAAAGAGCUCGUAGGCGGCUUAGUAAGUCGGCGGUGAAAUACCGAGGCUCAACCUCGGCACUGCCGUCGAUACUGCUAUGGCUAGAGUUUGGUAGAGGAGAACGGAAUUCCUGGUGUAGCGGUGAAAUGCGCAGAUAUCAGGAGGAACACCGGUGGCGAAGGCGGUUCUCUGGGCAUUACCUGACGCUGAGGAGCGAAAGCGUGGGGAGCGAACAGG
RNAcentral lists this ribosomal RNA (254 nucleotides) under uncultured bacterium. Its description in RNAcentral is "partial 16S ribosomal RNA". It matches the Rfam family "Bacterial small subunit ribosomal RNA", at positions 524 to 776 of the family's 1533-position model. The record is from RNAcentral.